GCCACCUCCAAGCAGAAGUACUGCUAUUUUUAGCUGUAUUGCUGAAAAUGUCAUUACCUUCAGGCUGCUAGUCAGGCAGUCUCUUAGAAAUAGGCAAAGAAGGUGGCUAAACCAAAGGCAUUUAUCAGUUUUCGAGGACCUGAAAGAAAACUGCCUGUCAGGGAGUUGGCAAAGAAAUGUCUGAGAGUAUGGAUAUUCUGCAGCUAAAGAGUUUGAAUUGUGCUGGUAAUUAAAUGCAGGAGUGCAGCCUUGCGAAUCCAGUUGGCAGUUGGAUGUCGUUUUAGGAGAUAGGAUUGAGGAACUACGAAGUCAGCAGUCAUUGAGGAAUUCAGUGAGGGAGUGGCUUUUGAAAAAAAUUCAAAGCUAGAUCUCCAAAAGGAAAGACAUUGGAAUUCCUGGUAAAGUUUGAGAUUUGAUGACCCACAGUAUGUACUUCCUGUCUCUGGAAAUUACCUCACAUUUGCUGCGUAGGCCUGUCUCUUGGAGUCGGGACCAGAUACUCUGGAUUCUGCCCGCAUGUUCUGGAUGGCUGUUUGUAUUUCCACAGGUACUGAUUUCAUCCCUCUCCCUGGCCAUCGCUUGAGGUUAAACCGGACUGUUCAAGAGGUUUGGCAUUGCAUUUCAUCUGGAGAUGAGCUUCAAAUUGUACAACUGCUCCAUCGUCAAGACUGGCUACCUCCACUUCCAUUGUACAGGCUGCCUCUGCCUCAGAGGUUUCCCUUUGCAGCUGUGCCUUUGUUACCUUUAGAUACAUCUAUUCCAAUGCUUUCUUGAUUGACCUUCCACCUUGUAUCUUUGGUAACAUGUGCUCAUUUAAAACUCUGCUACCCAUGUGCUUACAAGUCUUCUUCAGCCAUCCUACAUUGGAUACCAAUCUGACAAUUAAUUAUUAAUUAAUUGAAAAUACUCAUCCUUAUGUUCAGAUGCCUUCAUGAUCUUACCUCUCCCUAUCUUUGUAGCCUCCCCUGACUCUAUAACCCAAUGAUUUCAGUGCUUCUCCAAUUCUGGCCCAUUACACAUCACCAAUUUUCAUCGCUCCACUACUGGCAGCUGUGCUUUCAGUUGUCAACACCACUCAAAUGUUGGAAUUUUCUCGUAGUCUUCCCACCUCUUUAUAAUCCUUCCCUUUCCAUCUUUGAUGCCAUUGUCCUCAGGAAAAUCUCUCCCAUUCAGGUUAUUUCUCCUGUGCAGGCCCCAUCUUUGAUCCUUGAAGGCCAGGGGACAAAGGCUUUAACGCAAGCUGAAUAGCCACCAACUGUUAGACUUGGCAGACACCAAACAUCAUUGGGCAUAGCUUUCCAGGUCGAUCCCAGAUAAUAAGUGGUUUUGACAGCCAACAAAGAUUCUUUCCAUAUUUCUUCCUUCCACUGCCAUAUGUCUCCUUAGAUCUACCUCCUACAGAAAGUGCAAAAAGAUUGUGGAUUUCAGUCAGUAGUGUUCUGAAAAUCCAUUCAACUGUUUCUGCCUGACCCCACCCUUCCCCUUGCCCAUCAAACUGAGAUUCUCUCAAAAUUUCUCCAUGCCAUAAAUCUGAACCUACAUCUUUCUGUCUUCCUCUUAAGUUAUUUCUGAGCUUGUCCAUGCAUCCUAUACACAUUCUAUAAUCAUAAUUGUGGCUACUAAUGCAUCCCUGAUUUCUUUCAUUCCAGUGCCUUCACAGGGUAGUGAGAAUUAGCGAGAAGUCACUGAAGAGGUUUCUGGGAGAAGUUUGACUGCUCUCCACGAUUGAGAAGGGGAUUAGAAGAGAACCUACUGCUCAGCAGAAGAUCAUCCAACAGAUGGUGGCCAUGAGAAGUGACUGAGGAGGUUCCCUGGAGCAGUUGGCUUGCUAACCACAAAUGAGUAGGGGGUCAUGGAGGACUUGGUGUCAAAGAACGGUGAAGCCCAAAGCAUUCCAUUCUGUAAUGAUUCCCUUUCUCCUCGUCAAACCAAUUACUCUAGGACAGUUACAGAAUUUUCUUCAAAGCCCUUUCUGCCUCUCCUCCUUUAAGAUCUUUAAAAUUAUUUUGUUUAAAUAGCUUAUAGUAAUCCUUCUUAAUGUUUUCUACAUCAGUCAAAGUUCUACAUUUUAUAUCUGAGUGAUUCCUUAGGAUGUUUCCUUGUGUAAAGAAUACCACAUAACUAAGUUGCUGUUGCUGGUAGUUGCAGAGCCAAGUGGGUUGGAGCUGGAGCCAGUUCAGCAAAGACAGGAGUAAUGGACAAGAGUGUAGUGGUCAAAAGGCCAACAAAACGUUUUCAGAAAACGGUGGUGGCACAGGUACCAUUUCAAUAAAAAAAAGAGAUAGAAGAGGUAGAAAUGGUAAUGGGUGAAUUUGGAAAUACGUUGUUUGGUGAUUGCAGAUUUAAAUGAUGUUAAUCAUACUUCAAUUUGCAGAACUGAAACAGAGCAUAUUAAUAAGUUCAAGAUAUACUGUCAUGCAUAUUUAGUCAGACACAGGAUUGAGGGACAUGGUUUAUUUAAUCAAGCUUCUAGACUCAACACGAUAACUUCACAAAUUAUUUUUCUAGAUGUUGGCGAACCACAGAUGUAAUGCGACUUCUAUAAUUAUAUUGCCCACAAGACAACAACUGAAAUACCUAACUGCAAUUCAUGGUUUUAUUAAAACCAAAAUUAACUUAAAACACGUUCUAAGAUCCAGACAACAAGCAGUUUAUUAAUUUUUAAAUAAACCCAUUUUUAAAAUUCACUCAUGGGAUGUAGUUGUCAAUGGCUAGGCCAGCAUUUAAUCUCUGUGUCUAGUUGCCCAUAAGAAAGUAGCGGUGAUCAUAACACACUCACUGAUAAUCAGGCUUACCUUCUGCAUUGAAUACGUCAGUCAUUUAAUAGUUACACACACAUUCUCUUUUAGUUAUAUUGAGUGAGUCAAUUCAAUAUUCCAAAAAUGUAAAGUGCAAGAGGCUCCAUCUGCCAAUAUGACCAAAAUUCCCAGGUUGAGUCACUGACAAACUCGCUGCCAGAUACUCUUGUAUAUUUGUGUGAGAAUAAAAGAAGAUUUUUAAAGAAUCAAAUACAACCUUUUAGUUGACAGUAAUCAAAACACUGUGAAGAUCAUUCUUUUCCUCUAUCUUCUUUCUCCAACUCAAAUACUGCAGUGUCUCCAAUUAUUAACCAUUUCUUUAAAACCAGUAAACACUACGCCAGUUAAUGCACGGAUUAAAACUUCAAGGAAAUUAUAACAUGUUAAACUAAUAAUCCAAAUUUAAGGUACAUCAGGCUAUAUCUUGAUAGUCACAUAAUCAACAGUGUGUGCAAUUCUUUGAAAUUCACAAUAGCAAUUAUAAACUAUGUCACAGCGGAUGCAAUGUAAAGGCUACAGAGCUGCCUUGACAACAAUGGUAACAGACCACAUGAAUGCUCUCAUUUGAUGUGGUCAAUAGCAGACAUACGCAGAAUAUAGUGGCUGAUCGCCAAAAGUACAGCAUUGACGUCAGAAGAUUGUGUAAUCGUCUCAUCUUGGCUCUAAUCUAUAAACAAUGAACAAGCAUUGGAAAGCCUUACAAUGGAGUUAAUAUAGUGUUUGCAAAACAUGCUCCUGAAAUUAAGGAGAUGUAAUGAUAUCUGGAUGAAGAAAUUCAAAGCAAGCCAAUAAUGCUUUUCCUCUAUAAAGUUGCUUUCCUGUCCCUUCUCCUCCAACUCCAGUUAAGACCAGAUACACCAUACUAAUUCAGCAAACAUCUGGAAAGAUGUCUGUAGUGUGAUUAAAUGGCUUUAGUUUAAUACUAAAGAUAUUUGAAUAAGUAAUUUUCAAAAUCGACAAAUUUGCUUAUUAACAAAUUGUUUAUUUAAGUAUGAAGCCAACAGAACUGAAUGGUUGUAAAGAACAGCACAGACACAAUCACUAACACUGUUCUGUGCUGAACACUUCUAAUUUUAAGUUUUAGUAAAUAUUGUAGUGGUAACUUAGUCUUCACAAAUACUUUUGUGAAGUAUCAGAAUAUGAAUCUUCAAACUUCUACAUACUCGUGAUUAAAAUAUUUCUACUAUCCAAAAAUCCUCUAUAUAAGCUUGGCAUUUUCAAAUAGGAUUUUGUGAAAUGAUACAAGCAUAUUGGUCAGCUUUUCUUUCACUUACGGAAGUCCCUACAGUGAUGUAUGAUUUCACUACUUGAAGCUAAAGAACAACAUUCUGCCACCAGAGUGUCAACGUGAGCACUGAGUAUCACACCUGGCAAACUUUUACCCUUGGCCCACAGCUUUGAAUCCAGCUGUGAGUAAAUGCAAUGAAAAACGUCUUCUUUCUAUGCUACUGACAGUAAAUCAGAAUUUAUUCUGUAUUUAACUCAUAUAAUGACCUGACCUGGGAGUUCUUGGUUCUUACUGUGGACAUUAAAAAUGUGCCAUUAACCAACUCAAAUAGGUUCAAGAGAACAAAUCCAUCCAACAGCAAAUAAUUUAGAAAAGCAUACAAUAUUUCAGAAAGACUAUUUUCAUGAAUUAUUCCAAACUCAAAAUCUAAAGCUUCAUAAUACGGAAUCUCAAUCUGUAGAUAUAAUUCAUAGUUAGAAUUGACGAUUUCUCCUAAAAUCCCAAAGUAAUUAAUAUCAACUGCAUAUAAAAUGAAGGUUUUCCAAAUGAUUGAUCUUCCUUAGUAUAGCUAUAAAAUCAGAUUUACAAUCAGAAUAUUCAGCUAGAUUGUCAGUCCAAUGCUCUAAAUCAAUACAAAUUCAAAUGAAAAAUGUUCAAUUAAUUUAAGAACAACACAGAAACAGAGGAAACAGAGUAAUUGCCUGUUUGCUUAAGUUUAUGUCAGAUUGAAAUUCAAACGGUAUUCACUGUGAUGAGAACCCACACAUUUACAAGUAAUUCAGGAUUGUGCAGAGAUACCAAAUGCAUUCGGAAUUGAUUUGCUGAUCCAAAUUACACUUUAGAUCCUGCGUGUUGUGCUAUAUUACUAUACACUUGACACAAAACCUCCAAAAAAGUGCUAAGUGCACUUCCAUCAGCAGCUUAAAAAUUCUGUUUGCUUUUUAAAACAGUAGAGAAAAUAUAACUUCAGCUAAUUUCACUGAAUAGCUUAGCUCUGAAGUAGCAACUUCACAUAACAUACAUCAACCACAAAUACAGAAACAAUGAAAAAUUAUUCCACUUUUCCUAGAAAGCAGUCCUGUGUAGUGCUUUCCUCCUCAUCCAGCUUGGAACGCCUGUUGUGUCAUCAGCUGAGGACGCAAAGCCACUCUACUCACAUUUGAACUGAGUUAAGCGCAACAUUUUUAAAAUCCACAAAAUGUUCUCAUUUAUUCAGUGAAGAAAUCUUUUAAAGUGAACAGCAAGACUGUGAUUCAUUAGAAGCACCAGAUGAAUAUCACACCUUGUUUAUUACAUUAAGAUGGAUAACUUGUAUUGGGUUAUUAAAAUGAAUGCCCAUAUUGUCUGAUGGUCCUCAACUCCAUUUUGAAUAGAUAGGCUCAAUAGGAAUAAAUUUACCUCUCAGUAGAAGGUUCAAUUUCCACAGGGCACAAAAGGUUAGGGAUAGUAGGUUUACAGGGGAUUGAAGGAGAAUUUGUUUCAACCAGAGUGGUGGAUAUUUGGAACUCACUGUCUUAAAGGUGGUACAGGUGAGAACUGUCAAAAAUUUCAAGAAGUAUUUAGAGGAACACUUGAAGCAGCAUAGCAUAUAAGGCUAUGGGCCAAGUGUUGGGAAAUACGAUUAGAGAAGAUAGAUGCUCAAUGGGCAGAAUGGAGUCAAUACGUUGAAGGUCCUUUUUUGACACUGUAAUAUUCUGUUCCAUGAAAUUACUACACCAAGCACUGUCUGUAUAAUGUUAUACACUUCCUUUCCUUUUAUUUCUCAACUUGCUUCCCAUUUUCAAGCUUAUAACAAUCAUCCUAAAAAGAAUGCCAAGUAAUUACCUUAGACUGGGUAGAAAUUGAAUUCUUAUUUAUAAAUUAAUUAUUUGGCUAACGAUAACAGUUAUAUUUUUAAAUACUGAACGGUAACAAUUGUUUUCUAUUUACACAUUAAACUACCGAUGGCUAUCCAUAUACAUUUUAACCAUAUAUAAAAAGGAAAUCAACAUUUUGGGUGCAUAAACAUGGCAUAUAUGCAUAAAAGAAAUGCUAGAAAGAAGAAUCCAUUUAUAUAGUACCUAUCAAGACCAUCUGAUCUUCCAAAGAUGUAUAUCAUAUGUGCAGCACUUUUGAAAUAUAGUUACAUAAUUUAAUAAAUGAGGCAGCCAAUUUACAAAGUGCAUUCUCUAACAAAGAGCAGCAUGACAAUGACCAGGUGAAUUUUUUUUAAUGAUGUUGAUGGUGCAAUUAAUAUUUGCAGCGACACCAGUAAUAACUUGCCUGGCUCUUCUUGGUCAUGGUCUAACAUCUCAUCCCAGAGAAAGCAUUUCCAAUAGUGCAGUGCUCUUUCGUUACUUAAGUGCUAGCCAAGACUGUUGGACUCAAGUCCUGAACUGAGACUUGAACCUACAACAUUCUGGUCAGAGGUAAGAAUGUGACCAAAUAAGCCAUGACUGACAAGGAAUGCCUUUCCACAAAAUUUUUAGAUAUAGGCACAGCCAAUGUGUUUCCAAAGCAUUUUCACAAAGCUGGUACAACAGGCAGGUACUUCCCUUCUUAGUACAUUUUUCAGAUUUAAACGCAAUAAUUGAAACAAUGUUGUUUACAAAUUAAAUCCACUACAUUAUUCUUCAUAUAACUCCUAAACAAAUGUAGCCACUUGUAAGCAAUUCAUUUUCUUGGAGUUUAAGAAUUCCUCACACCUUUUCAUAUUUCCAGGCAAAAUACAGCACGUAUAAAAAGGCUGGAAAUCCACCAUAUUUCACAAAACCUCUGGAUAUAACAGCAAGGCAUAUGCCCUAAUGACUCAGAAACACUCAGCCUCCACGCUGUAGACAUGUUAAUGUGUAGCUGGACCCAAGUUUAGAUUUGCUAAAUGCAGAGGCUCAGAGUAAUUCAAUUAGAUAAACCAUGAACUUUGUACCAAUCCCAUCCACUUCAUUCAUCAGUUUGCAACCUGGCCUCCAAUUUGCACCCAGCUGAGAUCCCAACCCAUACCUCUUCGAUCACAAUGAGUGCCUAUGUCCAACCUCUAACGUCACCAGUCUUUCUCUCCUACUUCAGCCAUUCUGCUCCAAAACCAUCAAGCUACGCUCAUGUCACUUCAAAGAUUUGCGUAUUCUAACGUUCCCCUGAUGAACCUCAUUAUCUUCCACCCUCCACGAAAUUCAGUCUAUACAAAAUUACAGGGCCCAUAUUCUAACCUGUUCUAGUCUUGUUCACCCAUACGCUCACAGGUCUACAGUAGGACCUAGUUCUUGAGUAAUUCUAGUUGAAAAUACUGAUUCUGUCUUCCAAAUCUCACAUGGAAAUUCCCCAUCCUUCCUUGGUAACAUCUUCAGACACUACAACACUAAGAACUCUGCAUUCCUCCAACUAUGGCUUGUUCCUUUUGUUCCACCAUGCUUUCAGACUCAGCAAUUUUCUCUGUACCUUCCCUAAAAUGGAUCUCUGAGUAAACCUUCUGUUACUCCUCUUUACAUCAUAAUCACUGGCUUGGUCAUUGAAUCCCUACAGUUUGGAAGCAGGCCAUUUGGCCCAUUGAGUCCACAUCGACCUGCCAUCAGCAUCCCACCAAGACCCACCCCUCUACCUAUAUCUGUGCAUUUCCAAUGGCUAAUCCACCUAGAUUGUACAAACCCAGACACUACCGGGCAAUUUAGCAUAGUCAAUCCACCUAACCGUGGGAGGAAACCGGAGCACCAAGAGGAAACCCCCGCAGGGGAAUGUGCAAGCUCCACACAGACUCUUGCCUGACGCUGGAAUUGGACGCGGGUCGGUGGCACUGAGGGGCAGCAGUGCUAAUCACUGAGCCACCAUACUGCCCCAUCAAUUUUUGUCUCCUCAUGUUUCGUGUGAAGUUUCUUGGAUCCUUUGGCAUUUUCUACAUUAAGGAUGCUAUAUAAAUGUGAGAUAACAAGGUGCAGAGCUGGAUGAACA
Molecule: long non-coding RNA, 7947 nt
Organism: Stegostoma tigrinum
Lineage: Eukaryota; Metazoa; Chordata; Chondrichthyes; Orectolobiformes; Stegostomatidae
Exons: 3
Source: RefSeq, a predicted model, not a curated record